UAGUCUCUGAGAUGUUUGCCAGCGCGUCGAAUUCCCCUGAGCCGAUAUCUUUUUUUUAGGAUUACGUUCUGCAUAUUUAGAGUGUAUGCCUGCCUCAGAGCAGGAAACCCAGCAAGUAUGCGUCGUGUCCACCUUGAACUUUAGGGUUCAAGGGUGACGACAUGCAGCGGCAUCUUCGGAGUACUA
Non-coding RNA from Acinetobacter brisouii CIP 110357, 186 nucleotides. It matches the Rfam family "6S / SsrS RNA". From Rfam's summary of the family: E. coli 6S RNA was the first non coding RNA to be sequenced, but its function was unknown until recently. It consists of 184 nucleotides that fold into an extended hairpin structure with a large single-stranded internal bulge. The 6S RNA specifically associates with RNA polymerase holoenzyme containing the sigma70 specificity factor. Lineage: Bacteria; Pseudomonadati; Pseudomonadota; Gammaproteobacteria; Moraxellales; Moraxellaceae. The record is from Rfam.